RNAcentral lists this non-coding RNA (835 nucleotides) under Chiasmocleis lacrimae. RNAcentral's name for it is "partial small subunit ribosomal RNA". It matches the Rfam family "Bacterial small subunit ribosomal RNA". The record is from RNAcentral. Lineage: Eukaryota; Metazoa; Chordata; Amphibia; Anura; Microhylidae.
AGCCUUUAUGUCAUCUAUUGCCAAUCUUACACAUGCAAGUAUCUGCACACCCGUGAAAACGCCCUUAACCCCUUGAUCAAGGAAAAGGAGCUGGUAUCAGGCUCAACUUUAAGCCCACGACACCUAGCCACGCCACGCCCACAAGGGUAUUCAGCAGUGAUAAACCUUGUUUAUAAGCGCAAGCUCGAAUCAGUUACGGCAAAGAGGGCCGGCAAAUCCGGUGCCAGCCGCCGCGGCUACACCGUUAGGCCCAAGUUGACACACGCCGGCGUUAAGCGUGAUUAGAGUGAUUACACUGAUUAGAGUUAAACCCAAACUUAGUCGUGAUACACUUGUUCCCGGGAAACCCAAAAACGAAAGUUACUCUAACCAAUCCACUUGACCCCACGACAGCUAGGACACAAACUGGGAUUAGGUACCCCACUAUGCCUAGCCGUAAAAUAUAUACUCACCCAACAAAUCGCCAGGGAAUUACGAGCCCAAGCUUAAAACCCAAAGGACUUGACGGUGUCCCACCCACCUAGAGGAGCCUGUUCUAUAAUCGAUUCCCCCCGAUAAACCUCACCACUUCUGGCCAACUCAGCCUGUAUACCUCCGUCGUAAGCUUACCAUGUGAACGAAACCAGUGAGCCAAAAGAUCCAACAUCAAUACGUCAGGUCAAGGUGCAGCUAACGAACUGGGAAGAAAUGGGCUACAAUUUCUACCAUAGAACAAACGAAAGGCUACAUGAAACAUAGUCACUGAAGGCGGAUUUAGCAGUAAAAAGAAAAUAGAGAGUUCUUUUUAACAAGGCGCUGGGACGCGUACACACCGCCCGUCACCCUCUUCGAAUGC